AAAUGAAUAGACGGGCACCCGCACAAGCGGUGGAGCAUGCUGUUUAAUUCGAAGAUACGCGAAAAACCUUACCUGGGCUUGACAUCUUUUUGUCAGCCAUGGAAACAUGGUCUUCUUCUUCGGAAGACAAAAUGACAGAUGGUGCAUGGUUGUCGUCAGCUCGUGUCGUGAGAUGUUCGGUUAAGUCCGAUAACGAGCGCAACCCCUUUCAUUAAUUGCUAACAUUUAGUUGAGAACCUUAAUGAUACUGCCAGUGAUAAACUGGAGGAAGGUGGGGAUGACGUCAAAUCAUCAUGCCUCUUACGUCCAGGGCUACAGGCGUGCUACAAUGGCCAAUAUAAUGAGUCGCAAUACCGUGAGGUGGAGCUAAUCUUUAAAGUUGGUCUCAGUCCGGAUUGAAGUCUGCAAUUCGACUUCAUGAAGCUGGAAUCGCUAGUAAUCCCAGAUCAGAACGCUGGGGUGAAUACGUUCCCGGGUGUUGUACACACCGCCCGU
This 495-nucleotide ribosomal RNA is filed under the name uncultured bacterium. Its description in RNAcentral is "bacterial SSU rRNA". It matches the Rfam family "Bacterial small subunit ribosomal RNA", at positions 903 to 1397 of the family's 1533-position model. The record is from RNAcentral.